GUAGGUGGCAAGCGUUGUCCGGAAUUAUUGGGCGUAAAGCGCGCGCAGGCGGUACUUUAAGUCUGAUGUGAAAGCCCACGGGCUCAACCGUGGAGGGUCAUUGGAAACUGGAGAACUUGAGUACAGAAGAGGAAAGCGGAAUUCCACGUGUAGCGGUGAAAUGCGUAGAGAUGUGGAGGAACACCAGUGGCGAAGGCGGCUUUCUGGUCUGUAACUGACGCUGAGGCGCGAAAGCGUGGGGAGCAAACAGGAUUAGAUACCCUGGUAGUCCACGCCGUAAACGAUGAGUGCUAAGUGUUAGGGGGUUUCCGCCCCUUAGUGCUGCAGCUAACGCAUUAAGCACUCCGCCUGGGGAGUACGGCCGCAAAGGCUA
RNAcentral lists this ribosomal RNA (373 nucleotides) under uncultured organism. RNAcentral's name for it is "partial 16S ribosomal RNA". It matches the Rfam family "Bacterial small subunit ribosomal RNA", at positions 527 to 896 of the family's 1533-position model. The record is from RNAcentral.